This 253-nucleotide ribosomal RNA is filed under the name uncultured bacterium. RNAcentral's name for it is "partial 16S ribosomal RNA". It matches the Rfam family "Bacterial small subunit ribosomal RNA", at positions 524 to 776 of the family's 1533-position model. The record is from RNAcentral.
UACGUAGGGGGCAAGCGUUAUCCGGAUUUACUGGGUGUAAAGGGGGCGCAGACGGCGAUGCAAGCCAGGAGUGAAAGCCCGGGGCCCAACCCCGGGACUGCUCUUGGAACUGCGUGGCUGGAGUGCAGGAGGGGCAGGCGGAAUUCCUGGUGUAGCGGUGAAAUGCGUAGAUAUCAGGAGGAACACCGGUGGCGAAGGCGGCCUGCUAGACUGCAACUGACGUUGAGGCCCGAAAGCGUGGGGAGCAAACAGG